UACGUAGGGUGCAAGCGUUAAUCGGAAUUACUGGGCGUAAAGCGUGCGCAGGCGGUUAUGUAAGACAGAUGUGAAAAUCCCCGGGCUCAACCUGGGAACUGCAUUUGUGACUGCAUAGCUAGAGUACGGUAGAGGGGGGAUGGAAUUCCGCGUGUAGCAGUGAAAUGCGUAGAUAUGCGGAGGAACACCGAUGGCGAAGGCAAUCCCCCUGGACCUGUACUGACGCUCAUGCACGAAAGCGUGGGGAGCAAACGAGG
RNAcentral lists this ribosomal RNA (257 nucleotides) under uncultured bacterium. Its description in RNAcentral is "partial 16S ribosomal RNA". It matches the Rfam family "Bacterial small subunit ribosomal RNA", at positions 524 to 777 of the family's 1533-position model. The record is from RNAcentral.